Molecule: non-coding RNA, 1010 nt
Organism: Myodes glareolus (Bank vole)
Lineage: Eukaryota; Metazoa; Chordata; Mammalia; Rodentia; Cricetidae
Source: RefSeq, a predicted model, not a curated record
CUUCUUUUGUUUCCACAAAGGAUGAGAACCUAUAGAUUCAUUCCAGGCUAAUAUGGUUUGAUGGACCAUGAAGCCCCGAAAGGUCACUAUGAACACCUCCCAAAAUACUUCACUAUUAUGAGUCUGUAAGGACAGAAACUAGAUGAGUCCAUUGAAGGACAAGUCUGGGGCAAGUCCAGGAGAGAGCGGCACUAGCAGACAUGUGUGCCAGUGAUGAUAAGAGUGACGUAUAGGCAGACAGGAGUGUUAAUCUGGAGUGUGACGUAGGAAGAAGUGAAGUGAGGCUGAAUAAUAGUAUAAAAAGUGAGGCAAAGGGACCAGAAACCAUUCUCAAGAUGAUCUGCUAGAGAAUCUGUCGGAGAGGUGCCAGAGAAACUCUACAGCAUUGAGAAUCAAUCAAUCAAUCAACCAACGAGACAUUGGACCAGAGAUCUUCCAAGAGCCAGAGAACUUGCUCUUGCCUGCAGAUCAAGACUUGCUGAUCCAGAGGUCUACAUCGAGAGUCACGAACCAUCAUCAGUUCUUCCCCCAGUGGCCUUCUGUGUUGAAUUGCCUUGAUAGCUCAACACCCUCAAGGGAUGGAAUUCUGUGAGUCACUGGGGACUCAAAUGUGGAGUGUGAUGGAAGAAUUUCUAAAAGGAAGACAAGAAUCCAUAAUUGUAUAUUUCCUAGAAAAAUUUCAAUAACAAAUACUUAGAAGACUGAGGUAAAUGGAACAUCAUUGAUUCAAGGUCACCCUGAGCUAGCACAGUAAAACCAUGUCUCAAAACAUUAGAAAAAGAGCCUGGUAGUGGGGGUGCAUACCUUUAGUCCCAGUACUUAAGAAGCAGAUGCAGACCAGUCUCUGUGAGUGCAAGGCCAAUCUGGUAUACAGAGAGAGUUCCAGGACAUUCCAGGAUAUAGAGAAACCAUAUUGCAAACAAAACAAAAAAGCAGGGAGGAAUUCUAGCUACUCAAGAUGCUAAGGCAAGAGAAGCAAGAGUUCAAGUCCUACCUGGGCAGUCUAGUGA